UACUCGCCUGAAAAGUUUUUCGUUACUCGCACGGAUUAUACCCUUUCCUGGUACUCGCCCGGAUUCGACCAUUUUCCGGUACUCACACUGAUUCUACCAUUUUUCGGUACUCGUUCGGACAGUUAUUCGAUACUCGCACGGAUUCUACCUUUACCCGGUAGUCGCCCGGAUUCUAUUAUUUUCCGGUCCUCACACUGAUUCUACCAUUUUUGGAUACUCGCCUGGAAAGUUUGUCGUUACUCGCACGGAUUAUACCCUUUCCCGGUACUCUCCCGGAUUCGACCAUUUUCCGGUACUCACACUGAUUCUACCAUUUUUCGGUACUCGUUCGAACAGUUUUUCGGUACUCGCUCGAAUUCUACCUUUACCCGGUUGUCGCCCGGAUUCUAUUAUUUUCCGGUACUCUCAAUGAUUCUACCAUUUUUCGAUACUCGCCUGAAAGUUUUUUGUUACUCGCACGGAUUAUACCCUUCCCCGGUACUCGCCCGGAUUCGACUAUUUUCCUGUACUCAAACUGAUUCUACCAUUUUUCGGUACUCGUUCGGACAGUUAUUCGAUACUCGCACGGAUUCUACCUUUACCCAGUAGUCGCCGGGAUUCUAUUAUUUUCCAGUCCUCACACUGAUUCUACCAUUUUUUGAUACUCGCCUGGCAAGUUUGUCGUUACUCGCACGGAUUAUACCCUUUCCCCGUACUCUCCCGGAUUCGACCAUUUUCCGGUAGUCACACUGAUUCUACCAUUUUUCGGUACUCGUUCGAACAGUUUUUCGAUACUCGCUCGAAUUCUACCUUUACCCGGUAGUCGCCCGCAUUCUAUUAUUUUCCGAUACACACUGAUUCUACCAUUUUUCGAUACUCGCCUGGAAAGUUUUUCGUUACUCGCAUGGAUUAUACCUUUUCUCGGUACUCUCCCGGAUUCGACCAUUUUCCGGUACUCACACUGAUUCUACCAUUUUUCGGUACUCGUUCGGACAGUUAUUCGAUACUCGCUCGAAUUCUACCUUUACCUGGUAGUCGCCCGGAUUCUAUUAUUUUCCGGUCCUCACACUGAUUCUACCAUUUUUUUAUAUUCGCGUGGAAAGUUUUUCGUUACUCGCACGAAUUAUACCCUUUCCCGGUACUCUCCCGGAUUCGACCAUUUUCCGGAACUCACACUGAUUCUACCAUUUUUCGGUAGUCGUUCGAACAGUUUUUCGAUACUGAUUCUCGUAUGUAAAUCCAGUCGGGUCAUUUAAUCAAAAACAUUUAUAAAACCUAUGACCUCAUACUAGUGUAGCAAAGCUACUAUAGUAUAGUGGCUCUAGGGUCGAACUCUGGGAUGGGUUUUCAUUCUACCAAUGAUAUACUCAUGAUUAGGAUUGAAUUUAAUGAUUUCCUUUAUAAAAACUUAGAGUUUAAAAGAAAAUANNNNNNNNNNNNNNNNNNNNNNNNNNNNNNNNNNNNNNNNNNNNNNNNNNNNNNNNNNNNNNNNNNNNNNNNNNNNNNNNNNNNNNNNNNNNNNNNNNNNAACCACUUUCCAAUGGCUCUUACAUGAUAACUAAUGGACUGAUAUGGAUCUAGCAAUAAGCAUCCACAGAGACCUGAAGCUUACCAUGUAUUGGCCAUUCAAAGUGAUUCUAAGGGAUUUAAAGCAAAACUUUGGAUAUAAAAGCCAUUUAUGAACUUCAACUACCUGUAUUUAAGGCACGAGCGUUUUCCACCUUGCAUCUGGACUUUUCACCUAGCUUCCAUCACUCCAAGAAACCAAAAGUUUAGCCUCUCAUCCUCUGAGAAAACAUCCUCAGAGGUUGUUUGGCUUCCAAGAAAAAGAAAAUAGUAAAGAGAAAAGGGAAAACGAGAGAGCUCUGUAUAUUUUUCUAAAUGUAAAACAUAACACGUGUGAUACCUCCAAGAGGUGAUUUCCACCCCUUAUAUAGUUUUUACAAAAGCAAAGCUUGUGAUUGGCUUGUUACAAGGAGAAGAAAGGAAAUUACAUCAAAAAAUACAAAAGAAAAUAUCUAAAGUGGAGUCGGCAAAAACAGAGGAAAAUUCGCACCACGCAUGGGGUGUGCGAAUUUUCGCACACCUGAGGGGGGUGUGCGAGUUUUGCACACCAUUCGCACACCUAGAGCAGUUGUCUUCUGAAGGCCAUAUCUUCCUCGUUUCAGCUCCAAAUCGUACACGGUUUGAAGCGUUGGAUUCUUGACUUCCUGAGCUUUGAAAUGAUAUAUAGCAUGUAAAAAAUGGACUUCGGAAAGUUCUCCAAAAGUGCCAAAGAAGACUACGGCUGCUUUCCUCUGUUUUCCUCCUUGCUUCUCUUUGCUUCUCUUUGGUUUUCUUUGCUUUUCUCCUUUGGAUGGCUUGUCUUAAUGAUCUAAAAAGAUGUCAAAAACACUAAAACUAGCCACAAAUAUGAUUAGGAGUCAUUGCUAGGUCCUUAACAUGCCAAUUGGAAUAAAGAUGAAGAAUUACUACACAAAAGUGCUUAAAACAUAAUGACUUAAAGGUGUAAAAUAGCACUUUUUGGGUAGUAAUCACUCCCCCCAACUGACACAUUGCUAGUCCCUGAGCAAUGAAGGAGAGAAAAAUAAAGAAAAAUAGAUAAUAAAAUAAUUUACAAAAUCAUGCUGAUCACUCCAAAAAAUAAUCAAGUGGCAUGAUUGGAUCAAACUCUCACAUGGCAAGUCAAGGAUAUAAAACUCAAUCAUCAACAAGAUUUAUCAAAUAACUUACCUAUCACAACUUGCAAAGAGCGGGCAUUAUGCAAAUUUGAGUAUCAAAAUAAUUUCCACUCCCAACGGAUCAAUUCUUAAUCUUCCACAAAAAUCUAAGUGUUAAGGUGCUUAGUUUCCAGUUAUAGUAUGUCAAACUAUAUUCUCCCCCCCAACUAAGGUUUUUCUCUAACUUUAGCAACACUAACUCAUAUAUAAAAGGCUACGAACGCACCUUUUUUUUUUUUUUUUUUUAGGUACUCCACCCAUCCACCCAUGUAACGAGCAGUGAGGUCGGUGACUCCCAACCAGUAAAGGCUUAGGGCACCAGGCUUUAAAGAUUUUCACCAUAUACCCCUCGAACCUUGCUUGGGUUUCAAAGCAAGUGAAGCAAAAAUUAUUCAUAAGACACAUUAGCCUUUUAUAAGGUGUCCCAACACUAAUAGAAUGAAGUCAAUGGCACCAAGUCGAAAAUUUCCUAAGUUUAGGGGGGUGAGAAAGUUUUCCAUCUUAUAACUGGAAUCUAAUGUGUUCAGUGUGUGAAAAGAUUAGAGUGGAAGACUUAAGAUUGAAAUCAAAAGGAUCUUCAACAAUUUCACCAUAUACCCCUCGGACCUUGCUCGGGUUUCAAAGCAAGUGAAGCAAAAAUUAUUCAUAAGACACAUUGGCCUUUUAUAAGGUGUCCCAACACUAAUAGAAUGAAGUCAAUGGCACCAAGUCGAAAAUUUCCUAAGUUUAGGGGGGUGAGAAAGUUUUCCAUCUUAUAACUGGAAUCUAAUGUGUUCAGUGUGUGAAAAGAUUAGAGUGGAAGACUUAAGAUUGAAAUCAAAAGGAUCUUCAACAAUUUAUCAACUUUAAUAAGCAUAAUACAAACUCUGAGACUAUGGCAAUAAGAUAAGAAUUUAAUUUCUCCCAUUUACUUUUGAGAAUUUAUCUUUGAGAAAACAAAGAGAGUUUGCAAAAAAAAUUUGUUAGCAAAAUAACUUAACCAAAAAUUCAACAAAUUACUUCCUCAACUCUCCCCCCAACUAGGAUGAACAUUGUCCCCAAUGUUCCAAAAGCAAGAGAUAAUAAAAGGGAGGAAGUGAUACCUCCUGAUAGUAAGGGAGUCUGAAUGAACAGGAGAAACCACAUGUUGCAUAAGAAAAGAAAAAUCAUAAGAUUGAUGAAUAGAGGAAAUAAAAUGGAAUAGCUAAAAUACACAAAAAAGAAGAUGUCUAUAUAAACUGAGAGAGUACAAUAUAUAAGAUAAACAUGAAAUACAUCCAAUCCCAGUAUAAAAGUGGUCCAAAAUAUGUAAGACAUCCAAAAACGUAGCAUAUAGAUACAAAAAAAAAAAAAAAGGAGAGGAGUGAUCGUAUGAUCAAGUAGUAGGCUCCUCUGGUGGACAGGAGGGGUCCUCCGCUGCAAUUGUGGAAGGAACCGCUACAGGUGGAGCUGGUGGUGAAAGACCGAGGUGGUGCUGAAUCUCACGGAGAAUGAGAGUCUAUUGGUCCUGCUAAAGCUGGAAGUGGUCCAUCCGCUCCAUAAUGGCCGUCUGAGUAGUGGUCAAAGUCUAGAAAGAAGCGAGCAAGGCACGAUACUCUGGACCAGGGAUAGUAAUGGGCGACUCUGAUGUAGGAGGAACAACAGGUGGGGCAUCAGAUGAUGCUGCCUCCGGUACUGGCUGUGGAGGGUCUGAAGUGGACGGAGUAGGAGGGACUUCCCUUGGCUCGGGAAGUUCUGGGGAUUGGCGAUGGAGCCAUAUCUGAGUCCAUUGGUCAAGAGAGAAGCUCUCUCGACAAUGGCGGCGAGGCUCUGAACGAGGGUCUGCAGGAAAACCCAUAUGCGCCAAAACAUGGCAUAGCAGCCGAAGGAAAAGUAAAGGAAUGGAGUCUGCCCUCGCAAGAUGCCGCGUAUGCACCUUCUCCUCAAAAUGGAGGAGAGCGGCCAUAAUCAAAUGAUGGGGGCCAAAAUAGUAGCCCUAAGAGAUAAGGAAUAAUGCCUCCAUAAUGGCCCCUCGUCUCUGCACUUUAUGCUGAAGAGGAAAAAGAUUGGAGCGAAGCACCACAUCAACUAGGAGCAUCUCUAGGGGAAGCUCUCUCCUCAAAAUGGUCCUCUGGGAAGAUGUCCCUCGAGAUAGGAUACGAACCAUGUCCCACUCAGAAAGUGGGGCCCAGCGUUUAAAUGUAGCGGGAUCUGCUGGUGCAAAAGGGAUAUGGAAGGCAUCGGCAAUCUGUCUAGCCCCCAAAAUACCUUGGCGUCCAUCAAUGGUAAAAAGGAUCAAGGCUGGUACCGGGACGCCACGAGUAGCCAUAGACUGGUAAAAGUCUAAAGCUACUCGAGGAUAAAAAAACUGGGGUAGACUCAUAAAGGGUAUAAGAUGGUACCUCUCAAGUAGGCGGUAUGAAUCCCGCAACUCAGGCUGCUGUCGCAUAAGAGAGUGAUCGAAAUAUGCCUCGACAUGAAAGUCUCUCGAUCGGCAAUCGGAGUUGCCCUCAAUGGGCAAGCUGGGUCUAGGGCGCCUGGCGGAAGAAGGCUGAGACUGUGAAUCCCGAGGUGCUCUAGAGGACUCUCCUGGCUCUGAAGUCUUGGCUUUCUUUGUAGGAGGACUCCAAGGUGGAAUUUGUGGAGGGGCCACAGACGUGGCAGAUGCUCUCCUCUUAUGGUAUCUGCUCUGAGGGACAGAAUCAAGUAAAUGUGAGGGUGCAUCUAGUGGGGCCCGCACAGGGGCGGCUCUCUGACUGCUCUGGGGAGCUGUGGUAGAUCCUCCUCGGGUCUUAGGCAUGAUGAAGCGAUGAAAUGAGGCUUAAAGGUUUGGGAUUAUGGAAGGUAGGGAUGGAAAAGUUGAAAUUUUCGCACCAGGGGGGGGGUGCGAAAUUUUCGCAUAGGGUACUAUUCACCCGCACGUUUGAAGAAUUGUGGCUUGUUUGAGAUGGUGAAAAUUGGUGGCCUUUGAGGGUGGGAAAAGCUGGCUUAGGUAUGAAAAAGAUUUGUCAUGGUGAAUAGGCUUGGAAAUUGGAGCUUUUCAAGAGGAAAAUUGAAGAUUUGGAGCUCCCAUGGUCGGCGGCAAUGGGUUUCUUAUGAAGAAACCAUGGCUUGAAUGCUUAUGGUUUAGGCUUUGGUUUGGUAAGAACAAAGUUUGGGAUUGGAUUGUGGAUGGAUUUAGAGGGUUGGGUGAAGAUUUGAAAGGAUUUUGAUGGUGGAAGGAGGUGAAAUUGCCGAAAAUGGGAAGUGGUGAAUAGUGAAUGUGCGGCUAUGGAAUGGAGCUAUGGAGAUGGGCUGCCAUGGUGGUGUUGAUGAUGAGGAAUGAUGAAGAAGAGGGGCUUUAUGGAUGGAAAUGGGUGAUCGGAAGAGAGGUUUUGAGAGAAUUGAAGAAGAAGCUAAGACUUUGAAGUGGAGAACAUAGCUUUUAAAGAGAAAAAUGAAUUUCGCAUAGGGGAAAAUGGUGUGCGAAAUUUUCGCAUACCUGUGAUUCUCCAAGACAGAGAGCAUGGUUUUGAAAAUUGGAUCAAAAAACGAAUUCGCACAAGGUUCGCACAAGGUUCGCAUUCCUGUGAAAUUCGCACAAGGGACCGAGAGCAUGCAAUUUUUGAAAAGUGGUGCAAAAGCAAAUUCGCACAGGGUAAGUGGUGUGCGAAAUUUUCGCACACCACAAGGAGGUGUGCGAAUUUUGCUGAGUCUUGUCUUUUCUCCCCUGUUUUCCCUUGUUUUCACCAAGACUUCAUUCUUCAAGCCUUCCUACCUACAUGUUAACACAAACCACAUUAGAAUGAAAUUAAAGUCAAAAAUAGAAAUCAAAACAUGCAUAAACACAAGAAAACAUUAGAUUAAACUAAAAUCAACUUAAAAGAGAACAAAAAGAGGGUGAACUUUUUAGUCUUUGGAGAGACUAAGUUCAACCAUGAACCAAGUGUUUUCAUGUUGGAGGUGGAUCAAGGAGGAUGAAUUCCUCCUUGUCUCGGGAAAAAGAUUCGAUAUAAGGCUUGAGACGAUGCCCAUUAACUUUGAAAGUUCGAGUGCUAUUGAAGUUGAGUAGUUCCACUACUCCAUUUGGUUGCACUUCAUGAAUUAUGAAAGGACCCGUCCAUCUUGAUUUCAAUUUUCUCGGAAAAAGAUGAAGCUUAGAGUCAUAAAGCAAGACUCUUUGCCCCUUGGCAAAAUUCUUCUGAUUUACCAAUUGAUCAUGCCAUUUCUUCAACCUCUCCUUUGCAAUUUUUGAAUUGAGGUAAGCAUCAUUCCUCAUUUCCUCCAAUUCAUUCAAAUCCAAACAUCUUUUCAACCCGGCUCUUGUCAAAUCCAUGUUGAGUUUUUUUAUUGCCCACCAUGCUUUGUAUUUAAUCUCCACUGGAAGAUGGCACGCUUUGCCAUAAACAAGGCGAUAAGGAGACAUUCCAAGAAUGGUCUUGUAAGCGGUCUUAUACGCCCAUAAGGAAUCUAGGAGCUUAAUAGACCAAUCCUUCCUAUUCACAUUCACCACCUUCAUUAAUAUAUUCUUGAUCUCCCGGUUGGCUAACUCAACUUGGCCACUUGUUUGAGGGUGAUAAGGUGUAACCUUGUGCUUAACCCCAUAUUUGGCUAGAAGAGUCUCAAAAGGUUUAUUGCAAAAGUGGGUUCCUCCAUCACUUAUAAUGGCCUUAGGCACUCCAAAUCUUGCAAAGAUGUUAUCCUUGAGGAAUUUAAGAACCACCCUAUGAUCAUUGCUCCUACAUGGGAUUGCUUCAACCCACUUAGAGACAUAAUCCACUCCCACCAAAAUGUAGGAAUGUCCAAAUGACAUUGGAAAUGGUCCCAUGAAGUCUAUCCCCCAAACAUCAAAGACAUCCACUAUCAAAAUGGGGUUCAAGGGCAUCAUAUUUCGGCGUGUAAGCUUACCAAGCCUUUGACACCGAUCACAUCCCUUGCACAUAGAGUGGGCAUCCUUGAAAAGAGAGGGCCACCAAAACCCUGAUUGGAUCACUUUCAUAGCUGUUUUCUAGGAGGCAAAAUGACCUCCACAUGCACUAUCAUGGCAAUGGGAAAGAAUUCCUGAUUGCUCUUGUUCAGGAACACAUUUCCUUAUGAUUUGAUCCGCACAAUAUUUGAAGAGAAAAGGUUCCUCCCAAUAAUAGGCAUGGAUCUUAGCAAAGAAAUGCCUCUUGUCUUGGGCACUCCACUCGCUUGGAACUUCCCCAGUAACCAAGUAAUUUGCAAUGUGAGAAUACCAAGGAGCUACAUCUAUUGAAAUGAGAGACUCCUCAGGGAAGUCAUCAUUGAUAGGCAGACCAUGUGAGUCAUGUGCUAUCACAAGUCUUGACAAAUGGUCAGCUACCACAUUUUCUACUCCCUUUUUAUCCCGGAUUUGGAGAUUGAAUUCUUGGAGCAAAAGGAUCCAUCUUAUCAAUCUUGCCUUGGCAUCUUGCUUAGUUAGCAAGUACUUCAAAGCGGAAUGGUCAGUGAACCCCACUAUAGAGGACCCUACUAAAUAGGCACGAAACUUAUCCAAGGCAAAAACUACUGCCAACAACUCCUUCUCAGUAGUUGUGUAGUUCCUUUGAGCCUCGUUCAAAGUUUUGCUCGCGUAAUAAAUCACAUAAGGCUUUCCAUCCUCUCUUUGCCCCAAAACAGCCCCCAUAGCAAGAUCACUUGCAUCACACAUUACCUCAAAAGGUAAUUUCCAAUUUGGGGCUCUCACUAUUGGUGCAGUUGUGAGGAAUUGCUUCAAUUCCUCAAAACUCUUCUGACACUUCUCAUCCCACACAAACUUGGCAUCCUUUACCAAGAGUUCACAAAGAGGCUUUGAGAUUUUUGAGAAAUCCUUAAUGAACCUCCUAUAGAACCCGGCAUGUCCUAGGAAUUGUCUAAUUCCUUUAACAUUUGUGGGAGGUGGCAACUUAACAAUUAGCUCCACCUUUGCCUUAUCUACCUCAAUGCCAUUUUUGGAGAUUACAUGUCCUAAGACAAUGCCUUGUUGUACCAUAAAAUGGCACUUCUCCCAAUUUAGCACUAGGUCUUUCUCAAUACAUCUGUGGAGAACAGCUUCUAAGUGCAACAAACACUCCUCAAAAGAACUUCCAUAUACAGUGAUGUCAUCUAUGAAGACUUCCAUGAUGCAUUCCACCAUAUCACUGAAGAUGCUUAGCAUACAUCUUUGGAAAGUUUCAGGAGCAUUACAUAAACCAAAGGGCAUUCUCCUAUACACAAAAGUACCAAAGGGGCAUGUGAAGGUUGUUUUUUCUUGAUCUUCCAAAUCAAUCUCUAUUUGGAAGUACCCCGAGUAACCAUCUAGAAAACAGUAGAAAGGAUGUCCUGAGACUCUCUCAAGGACUUGGUCCAUGAAAGGCAAUGGGAAAUGGUCCUUCCUAGUCACUAAAUUCAACCUCUUGUAGUCUAUACACACCCUCCAUCCUGAGGUAGGACGUGUAGAGACUUCCUCCCCUUUCUCAUUUUGGAUCACAGUGAUUCCAGAUUUCUUUGGAACUACUAGGGUGGGGCUCACCCACAAGCUAUCUGAAAUGGGAUAUAUGAUCCCUGCUUGUAGUAGCUUCAGAACUUCACCCCUCACCACCUCUUGCAUGUGAGGAUUCAACCUCCUCUGGGGCUGCCUCACUGGUUUUGCAUCUUCCUCCAUGUAGAUAUGGUGGGUGCACACCAAAGGACUAAUCCCUUUCAGAUCAGAAAUUUGCCAUCCAAUGGCUUUCUUGCAUUUUUUGAGGACUCCCAAAAGACUAUCCUCUUGAUCACUUGUGAGAUUUGAAGAGACCACCACUGGACAUUUCUCAUCUUCCUCCAAGUAUGCAUACUUCAAAUUAACAGGAAGUGGCUUCAAAACAAGCUUUGGAGGGUCCUUCAUAGCUGCUCCGGAGGGUCCUCCAUAGCUGCUCCUUGUGAGUCCUCCUUAUUGAACAGUGGUAAGAUCUCUUCCCGUCUCCUCCAAGGAGACAUGAUAGCUAGCACAUCAGAGGGUUCAGGUAACCCUUCUUCAAACACUUCAAGGCUUUCAUUCAAGCUCUCUUCUAAGCUCUUGUUACAAUGCUCUUCAACCAAGGUGUUGAUCAGGCACACCUCCUCCAAUCCUUCAUCCUCAUCUGGGUGAAGAUGCCUCUUGCAAAGAUGGAAUAUGUUUAAUUCCAAGGUCAUAUUUCCAAAUGUGAGUUGCAUCACCCCAUUUCUACAAUUGAUGAUGGCAUUGGAGGUAGCCAGGAAAGGUCUCCCAAGGAUGAUUGGCACGUAAUUGGCUUCCUUAACAGUGGGAUCAGUAUCAAGCACAACAAAAUCCACGGGAUUGUAGAAUUUGUCCACUUGAACUAGAACAUCCUCUAUCACCCCCCUUGGGAUUUUGACAGACCUAUCAGCUAAGGAGAGAGUGAUGGCUGUGGGCUUCAAUCCUCCAAGUCCCAGUUGCUUGUACACAGAGUAUGGGAGCAAAUUCACACUUGCCCCCAAGUCUAGUAAAGCUUUCUCCACAAGUGUCCCUCCAAUGUUGACUGCAAUGGUGGGGCAACCCGAAUCUUUAUACUUAACUGGAGACUUACUCUGAAUGAUAGCACUUACUUGCUCAGUGAGGAAUGCAUUCUUUGUCACAUGUAGCCCUCUCUUAACCGUGCACAAGUCCUUUAGAAACUUUGCAUAUGUGGGGACUUGCUUGAUCAUAUCAAGUAAGGGUAUAUUCACCUUCACUUGUCUCAAGACUUCAAGAAUUUCUGAUGAAUUCUUGAUUUCCUUCUUUCCAUGUAAAGCUUGAGGAAAAGGGGGAGGCAUAUGUUUCUUCAUCAUAUCUUCUUUAAUNNNNNNNNNNNNNNNNNNNNNNNNNNNNNNNNNNNNNNNNNNNNNNNNNNNNNNNNNNNNNNNNNNNNNNNNNNNNNNNNNNNNNNNNNNNNNNNNNNNNGACCUCCCUCAACUUUGAAGAAUCCCCCUCUUGGGUUUCAACUUCAUGAACACCCUUAGGAUUUUGGCUUGGUUGAGAGGGGAACUUUCCUUUCUCAUUCACUGUGUUGAGGUUGGUAAGCCUAGAGAUGGAAUAUUGAAUAUUAUCUAUCUUCUGAUAUAGAUCAUUUUGCAUCCCAUCCAUUCUCUUAUUUAGAGAACUCUCAACAUUCUCAAUCUUUUGGUGCAAUUGGGAGUUGAUUGCCCUUUGUUCACCCACAAAUUCGAUACUCGCUAGAAUUCUACCUUUACCCGGUAGUCGCCUGGAUUAUAUUAUUUUCCCUUACUCACACUGAUUCUACCAUUUUUCGAUACUCGCUUGAGAAGUUUUUCAUUACUCGCACGAAUUAUACCCUUCCCUGGUACUCGCCCGGAUUCGACCAUUUUCCGGUACUCAAACUGAUUUUACCAUUUUUCGGUACUCGUUCGAACAGUUAUUCGAUACUUGCAUGGAUUCUACCUUUACCCGGUAGUCGUCGGGAUUCUAUUAUUUUCCAGUCCUCACACUGAUUCUACCAUUUUUCGAUACUCGCCUGGAAAGUUUGUCGUUACUCGCACGGAUUAUACCCUUUUGUCGGUACUCUCCCGGAUUCGACCAUUUUCCGGUAAUCACACUCAUUCUACCAUUUUUCGGUACUCGUUCGAAUAGUUUUUCGAUACUCGCUUGAAUUCUACCUUUACCCGGUAGUCGCCCCGAUUCUAUUAUUUUUCGGUACUCACACUGAUUCUACCAUUUUUUGAUACUCGCUUGGGAAGUUUUUCGUUACUCGCACGGAUUAUACCCUUCCCUGGUACUCUCCCGGAUUCGACCAUUUUCCGGUACUCAAACUGAUUCUACCAUUCUUCGAUACUCGUUCGGACAGUUAUUCGAUACUCGCACGGAUUCUACCUUUACCCGGUAGUCGCCGGGAUUCCAUUAUUUUCCGGUCCUCACACUGAUUCUACCAUUUUUCGAU
RNAcentral lists this long non-coding RNA (11530 nucleotides) under Vitis vinifera (wine grape). Its description in RNAcentral is "long non-coding RNA (VVIN_LNC007989)". The record is from RNAcentral. Lineage: Eukaryota; Viridiplantae; Streptophyta; Magnoliopsida; Vitales; Vitaceae.